This 397-nucleotide ribosomal RNA is filed under the name uncultured bacterium. Its description in RNAcentral is "bacterial SSU rRNA". It matches the Rfam family "Bacterial small subunit ribosomal RNA", at positions 29 to 429 of the family's 1533-position model. The record is from RNAcentral.
AUUGAACGCUGGCGGCAUGCUUUACACAUGCAAGUCGAACGGCAGCACGGGCUUCGGCCUGGUGGCGAGUGGCGAACGGGUGAGUAAUGCAUCGGAACGUACCGUGUAAUGGGGGAUAACGUAGCGAAAGUUACGCUAAUACCGCAUACGCCCUGAGGGGGAAAGUGGGGGACCGCAAGGCCUCACGUUAUACGAGCGGCCGAUGUCGGAUUAGCUAGUUGGUGGGGUAAAGGCCUACCAAGGCGACGAUCCGUAGCGGGUCUGAGAGGAUGAUCCGCCACACUGGGACUGAGACACGGCCCAGACUCCUACGGGAGGCAGCAGUGGGGAAUUUUGGACAAUGGGCGCAAGCCUGAUCCAGCCAUGCCGCGUGAGUGAAGAAGGCCUCGGUUGUAAG